RNAcentral lists this microRNA precursor (103 nucleotides) under Marmota monax (woodchuck). The record is from RNAcentral. Lineage: Eukaryota; Metazoa; Chordata; Mammalia; Rodentia; Sciuridae.
AAUGGGACAGCUGGGUCAAAUGGUGGUUCCAUUCCAAGUUUUCAGAGGAAUCGCCAUACUGCCUUCCAGACUGGUUGUACCAAUUUGCAGUCCCACCAGCAAU